AGGCCACGAUGCAUAGCCGACCUGAGAGGGUGAUCGGCCACAUUGGGACUGAGACACGGCCCAAACUCCUACGGGAGGCAGCAGUAGGGAAUCUUCGGCAAUGGACGAAAGUCUGACCGAGCAACGCCGCGUGAGUGAAGAAGGUUUUCGGAUCGUAAAACUCUGUUGUUAGAGAAGAACAAGGAUGAGAGUAACUGUUCAUCCCUUGACGGUAUCUAACCAGAAAGCCACGGCUAACUACGUGCCAGCAGCCGCGGUAAUACGUAGGUGGCAAGCGUUGUCCGGAUUUAUUGGGCGUAAAGCGAGCGCAGGCGGUUUCUUAAGUCUGAUGUGAAAGCCCCCGGCUCAACCGGGGAGGGUCAUUGGAAACUGGGAGACUUGAGUGCAGAAGAGGAGAGUGGAAUUCCAUGUGUAGCGGUGAAAUGCGUAGAUAUAUGGAGGAACACCAGUGGCGAAGGCGGCUCUCUGGUCUGUAACUGACGCUGAGGCUCGAAAGCGUGGGGAGCAAACAGGAUUAGAUACCCUGGUAGUCCACGCCGUAAACGAUGAGUGCUAAGUGUUGGAGGGUUUCCGCCCUUCAGUGCUGCAGCUAACGCAUUAAGCACUCCGCCUGGGGAGUACGACCGCAAGGUUGAAACUCAAAGGAAUUGACGGGGGCCCGCACAAGCGGUGGAGCAUGUGGUUUAAUUCGAAGCAACGCGAAGAACCUUACCAGGUCUUGACAUCCUUUGACCACUCUAGAGAUAGAGCUUCCCCUUCGGGGGCAAAGUGACAGGUGGUGCAUGGUUGUCGUCAGCUCGUGUCGUGAGAUGUUGGGUUAAGUCCCGCAACGAGCGCAACCCUUAUUGUUAGUUGCCAUCAUUCAGUUGGGCACUCUAGCAAGACUGCCGGUGACAAACCGGAGGAAGGUGGGGAUGACGUCAAAUCAUCAUGCCCCUUAUGACCUGGGCUACACACGUGCUACAAUGGGAAGUACAACGAGUUGCGAAGUCGCGAGGCUAAGCUAAUCUCUUAAAGCUUCUCUCAGUUCGGAUUGCAGGCUGCAACUCGCCUGCAUGAAGCCGGAAUCGCUAGUAAUCGCGGAUCAGCACGCCGCGGUGAAUACGUUCCCGGGCCUUGUACACACCGCCCGUCACACCACGAGAGUUUGUAACACCCGAAGUCGGUGAGGUAACCUUUU
This 1180-nucleotide ribosomal RNA is filed under the name Enterococcus faecium R494. Its description in RNAcentral is "bacterial SSU rRNA". It matches the Rfam family "Bacterial small subunit ribosomal RNA", at positions 271 to 1444 of the family's 1533-position model. Lineage: Bacteria; Bacillati; Bacillota; Bacilli; Lactobacillales; Enterococcaceae. The record is from RNAcentral.